GAUGAACGCUGGCGGCGUGCCUAAUACAUGCAAGUCGAGCGAACAGAUGAGGAGCUUGCUCCUCUGACGUUAGCGGCGGACGGGUGAGUAACACGUGGAUAACCUACCUAUAAGACUGGGAUAACUUCGGGAAACCGGAGCUAAUACCGGAUAAUAUAUUGAACCGCAUGGUUCAAUAGUGAAAGACGGUUUUGCUGUCACUUAUAGAUGGAUCCGCGCCGCAUUAGCUAGUUGGUAAGGUAACGGCUUACCAAGGCAACGAUGCGUAGCCGACCUGAGAGGGUGAUCGGCCACACUGGAAUUGAGACACGGUCCAGACUCCUACGGGAGGCAGCAGUAGGGAAUCUUCCGCAAAGGGCGAAAGCCUGACGGAGCAACGCCGCGUGAGUGAUGAAGGUCUUCGGAUCGUAAAACUCUGUUAUUAGGGAAGAACAAAUGUGUAAGUAACUAUGCACGUCUUGACGGUACCUAAUCAGAAAGCCACGGCUAACUACGUG
RNAcentral lists this ribosomal RNA (497 nucleotides) under uncultured bacterium. RNAcentral describes it as "partial 16S ribosomal RNA". It matches the Rfam family "Bacterial small subunit ribosomal RNA", at positions 28 to 507 of the family's 1533-position model. The record is from RNAcentral.